UACGUAGGGGCCGAGCGUUGUCCGGAGUUAUUGGGCGUAAAGCGCGCGCAGGCGGCCUCGCGCGCCCGACGUGAAAGCCCCCGGCUUAACCGGGGAGGGUCGUUGGGGACGGCGGGGCUUGAGGGCGGGAGAGGGCGGUGGAAUUCCCGGUGUAGUGGUGAAAUGCGUAGAGAUCGGGAGGAACACCUGUGGCGAAGGCGGCCGUCUGGGCCGGCCCUGACGCUGAGGCGCGAAGGCGUGGGGAGCGAACGGG
Molecule: ribosomal RNA, 253 nt
Filed under: uncultured bacterium
Lineage: Bacteria
Description: partial 16S ribosomal RNA
Rfam family: Bacterial small subunit ribosomal RNA
Source: RNAcentral